GACGAACGCUGGCGGCGUGCCUAACACAUGCAAGUCGAGCGGAGUCGAUCGACGGAAGCCUUCGGGCGGAAGAUGGUUGACUUAGCGGCGGAUGGGUGAGUAACGCGUGGGCAACCUGCCUCGAAGACCGGGAUAACAGCCCGAAAGGGCUGCUAAUACCGGAUGUGGUCAAGGAUCCGCAUGGAUUUUGAUUAAAGGGGAAACCCGUUUCGAGAUGGGCCCGCGUCCUAUCAGCUAGUUGGUGAGGUAAAAGCUCACCAAGGCGACGACGGGUAGCCGGCCUGAGAGGGUGACCGGCCACACUGGAACUGAGACACGGUCCAGACUCCUACGGGGGGCAGCAGUGGGGAAUCUUCCACAAUGGGCGAAAGCCUGAUGGAGCGACGCCGCGUGAGCGAAGAAGGCCUUCGGGUUGUAAAGCUCUGUCUGGAGGGACGAAGGAAGUGACGGUACCUCCGGAGGAAGCCACGGCUAACUACAUG
This 482-nucleotide ribosomal RNA is filed under the name uncultured bacterium. RNAcentral's name for it is "bacterial SSU rRNA". It matches the Rfam family "Bacterial small subunit ribosomal RNA", at positions 28 to 507 of the family's 1533-position model. The record is from RNAcentral.